GGGGUUGUGGCUCAGUGGUGGAGCAUUUUCCUCACACAAGAAAGGCCCUGGGUUCAAUCCUCAACACCACA
RNAcentral lists this transfer RNA (71 nucleotides) under Marmota monax (woodchuck). RNAcentral's name for it is "tRNA.Val". It matches the Rfam family "tRNA". Rfam says of the family: Transfer RNA (tRNA) molecules are approximately 80 nucleotides in length. Their secondary structure includes four short double-helical elements and three loops (D, anti-codon, and T loops). Lineage: Eukaryota; Metazoa; Chordata; Mammalia; Rodentia; Sciuridae. The record is from RNAcentral.